UGCCAGCCGCCGCGGUAAUACGGAGGGGGCUAGCGUUGUUCGGAAUUACUGGGCGUAAAGCGCACGUAGGCGGACUAUUAAGUCAGGGGUGAAAUCCCGGGGCUCAACCCCGGAACUGCCUCUGAUACUGGUAGUCUAGAGAUCGAGAGAGGCGAGUGGAAUUGCGAGUGUAGAGGUGAAAUUCGUAGAUAUUCGCAGGAACACCAGUGGCGAAGGCGGCUCGCUGGCUCGAUACUGACGCUGAGGCGCGAAAGCGUGGGGAGCAAACAGGAUUAGAUA
RNAcentral lists this ribosomal RNA (279 nucleotides) under uncultured bacterium. RNAcentral's name for it is "partial 16S ribosomal RNA". It matches the Rfam family "Bacterial small subunit ribosomal RNA", at positions 506 to 784 of the family's 1533-position model. The record is from RNAcentral.